This 450-nucleotide ribosomal RNA is filed under the name Acinetobacter nosocomialis. RNAcentral's name for it is "bacterial SSU rRNA". It matches the Rfam family "Bacterial small subunit ribosomal RNA", at positions 42 to 486 of the family's 1533-position model. Lineage: Bacteria; Pseudomonadati; Pseudomonadota; Gammaproteobacteria; Moraxellales; Moraxellaceae. The record is from RNAcentral.
GCAGGCUUAACACAUGCAAGUCGAGCGGGGGAAGGUAGCUUGCUACUGGACCUACCGGCGGACGGGUGAGUAAUGCUUACGAAUCUGCCUAUUACUGGGGGACAACAUCUCGAAAGGGAUGCUAAUACCGCAUACGUCCUACGGGAGAAAGCAGGGGAUCUUCGGACCUUGCGCUAAUAGAUGAGCCUAAUUCGGAUUAGCUAGUUGGUGGGGUAAAGGCCUACCAAGGCAACGAUCUGUAGCGGGUCUGAGAGGAUGAUCCGCCACACUGGGACUGAGACACGGCCCAAACUCCUACGGGAGGCAGCAGUGGGGAAUAUUGGACAAUGGGCGCAAGCUUGAUCCAGCCAUGCCGCGUGUGUGAAGAAGGCCUUAUGGUUGUAAAGCACUUUAAGCGAGGAGGAGGCUACUUUAGAUAAUACCUAUAGAUAGUGGACGUUACUCGCAGAA